Molecule: ribosomal RNA, 583 nt
Filed under: uncultured bacterium
Lineage: Bacteria
Description: partial 16S ribosomal RNA
Rfam family: Bacterial small subunit ribosomal RNA
Source: RNAcentral
UGGGGAAUUUUGGACAAUGGGCGAAAGCCUGAUCCAGCAAUGCCGCGUGUGUGAAGAAGGCCUUCGGGUUGUAAAGCACUUUUGUCCGGAAAGAAAUCCUUGGCUCUAAUACAGUCGGGGGAUGACGGUACCGGAAGAAUAAGCACCGGCUAACUACGUGCCAGCAGCCGCGGUAAUACGUAGGGUGCAAGCGUUAAUCGGAAUUACUGGGCGUAAAGCGUGCGCAGGCGGUUGCUAAGACCGAUGUGAAAUCCCCGGGCUCAACCUGGGAACUGCAUUGGUGACUGGCAGGCUAGAGUAUGGCAGAGGGGGGUAGAAUUCCACGUGUAGCAGUGAAAUGCGUAGAGAUGUGGAGGAAUACCGAUGGCGAAGGCAGCCCCCUGGGCCAAUACUGACGCUCAUGCACGAAAGCGUGGGGAGCAAACAGGAUUAGAUACCCUGGUAGUCCACGCCCUAAACGAUGUCAACUAGUUGUUGGGGAUUCAUUCCUUAGUAACGUAGCUAACGCGUGAAGUUGACCGCCUGGGGAGUACGGUCGCAAGAUUAAAACUUAAAUGAAUUGACGGGGUCAUAGCUGUUUCCU